RNAcentral lists this ribosomal RNA (253 nucleotides) under uncultured bacterium. RNAcentral's name for it is "partial 16S ribosomal RNA". It matches the Rfam family "Bacterial small subunit ribosomal RNA", at positions 524 to 776 of the family's 1533-position model. The record is from RNAcentral.
CACGUAGGGGGCGAGCGUUGUCCGGAUUCAUUGGGCGUAAAGGGCGCGCAGGCGGCUCGGAAAGUCGGGUGUGAAAACUCGGGGCUCAACCCCGAGCCUGCUUCUGAUACGGGCAGACUGGAGGUAUGCAGGGGAGAACGGAAUUCCUGGUGUAGCGGUGAAAUGCGCAGAUAUCAGGAGGAACACCGGUGGCGAAGGCGGUUCUCUGGGCAUUACCUGACGCUGAGGAGCGAAAGUGUGGGGAGCGAACAGG